This 527-nucleotide ribosomal RNA is filed under the name Bacillus licheniformis. Its description in RNAcentral is "bacterial SSU rRNA". It matches the Rfam family "Bacterial small subunit ribosomal RNA", at positions 106 to 616 of the family's 1533-position model. The record is from RNAcentral. Lineage: Bacteria; Bacillati; Bacillota; Bacilli; Caryophanales; Bacillaceae.
GUGAUUAACACGUGGGUAACCUGCCUGUAAGACUGGGAUAACUCCGGGAAACCGGGGCUAAUACCGGAUGCUUGAUUGAACCGCAUGGUUCAAUUAUAAAAGGUGGCUUUUACCUACCACUUACAAAUGGACCCGCGGCGCAUUACCUAUUUGGUGAGGUAACGGCUCACCAAGGCAACAAUGCUUACCCAACCUGAAAGGGUGAUCGGCCACACGGGAACUGAAACACGGCCCAAACUCCUACGGAAGGCACCAUUAGGGAAUCUUCCGCAUGGGACAAAAGUCUGACGAACCACCGCCCCGUGAUUGAUGAAGGUUUUCGAAUCGUAAAACUCUGUUGUUAGGAAAAAACAAUUACCGUUCAAAUAGGGCGGUACCUUGACGGUACCUAACCAAAAAGCCACGCUUAACUACUUGCCACCACCCGCGGUAUUACUUAGGUGGCAAGCGUUGUCCGGAAUUAUUGGGCGUAAGCCGCGCCCAGGCGGUUUUCUUAGUUCUGAGGUGAAACCCCCCGGCUCACCCGG